UACGAAGGGGGCUAGCGUUGCUCGGAAUCACUGGGCGUAAAGCGCACGUAGGCGGACUCUUAAGUCGGUGGUGAAAUCCUGGAGCUCAACUCCAGAACUGCCUUCGAUACUGAGAGUCUUGAGUCCGGGAGAGGUGAGUGGAACUGCGAGUGUAGAGGUGAAAUUCGUAGAUAUUCGCAAGAACACCAGUGGCGAAGGCGGCUCACUGGCCCGGUACUGACGCUGAGGUGCGAAAG
Molecule: ribosomal RNA, 236 nt
Filed under: uncultured bacterium
Lineage: Bacteria
Description: partial 16S ribosomal RNA
Rfam family: Bacterial small subunit ribosomal RNA
Source: RNAcentral